GGCUACGUAGCUUAGGGGUCUAAAGCACUUGUGUCAUAAACAAGGGAUCGCUGGUUCAAAUCCAGCCGUAGCCA
This 74-nucleotide transfer RNA is filed under the name Candidatus Amesiibacteriota bacterium. RNAcentral's name for it is "Candidatus Amesbacteria bacterium tRNA-Met". It matches the Rfam family "tRNA". From Rfam's summary of the family: Transfer RNA (tRNA) molecules are approximately 80 nucleotides in length. Their secondary structure includes four short double-helical elements and three loops (D, anti-codon, and T loops). Further hydrogen bonds mediate the characteristic L-shaped molecular structure. tRNAs have two regions of fundamental functional importance: the anti-codon, which is responsible for specific mRNA codon recognition, and the 3' end, to which the tRNAs corresponding amino acid is attached (by aminoacyl-tRNA synthetases). tRNAs cope with the degeneracy of the genetic code in two manners: having more than one tRNA (with a specific anti-codon) for a particular amino acid; and 'wobble' base-pairing, i.e. permitting non-standard base-pairing at the 3rd anti-codon position. RNAcentral also lists the same sequence under 1 other name. The record is from RNAcentral. Lineage: Bacteria; Candidatus Amesiibacteriota.